This 2054-nucleotide long non-coding RNA is filed under the name Musa acuminata (dwarf banana). RNAcentral describes it as "long non-coding RNA (MACU_LNC006681)". The record is from RNAcentral. Lineage: Eukaryota; Viridiplantae; Streptophyta; Magnoliopsida; Zingiberales; Musaceae.
GGAUGGUGAAUCGGGUCCAGUUGGCACGGUUGGUUCACUGCCAAAGGUGCAGGUUCAUCCUUGUGUCUCUUCCGUGCCGAUGUGGGAGUGUUGAUGUGGUGAACCAGCGCUGGAAGUCUACAAGGGAGGCGGUUUGCUGGGGCUGAUCUGACCUUGGAGCAGUGAGGCCUGGUAGAGGAACUGGGAUUUGCUCGGCAGCGAGGUCCUCUCUUGGCUGUUGGGACAUCUUCAAGGUGUGAGGUUGUCACCUGGGCACUAGUGAUCUUGCACAACAGGUCGGUGUCGGGGAGCUUCCCGUCUCGACCCCUUCGAUGUUUAAGCAAGUGUAAGGUGGAGGAGGCGAAAGAUAACAGUAUGGGCUAUGUAAAGAUGAGAGAGUAAAGGGUUGAGAGAUUAUUGCCCCCCCAAUCUUGGCCUGGGGUGUGGCUCUUAUGCCUCGGUACUGUGCCCUCUCCGAUUGUGAUCUUAUCUGGUCUACUCUCUGAUUGGGCAUGAAUAUCGUUGGUUGGUGAGUCGGCUCCAGUCGGCACGGUUGGUUCACUAUCAAGGUACAGGUUUAUCCUUGUAUCUCCUCCGUGCCGAUGUAGGAGUGUUGAUGUGGUGAACCAGCGAUGGAAGUCUACAAGGGAAGCGAUUUGCUGGGGCUGAUCUGACCUUGGAGCGGUAGGCGUGGUAGAGGAACUGAGAUCUGCUCGGCAACGAGGUCCUCUUUUGGCUGUUGGGUCAUCUUCCCGGCUCGAACCCUUCGAUGCUUAAGUCAGUGUAAGGCGGAGGAGGCGAAAGACAGCAGUAUGAGCUGUGUAAAGAUGACAGAGUAAAGGGUUGAGAGAUUGUUGCCUCCUUAAUCUUGGCCUGGGGUGUGGCUCUUAUGCUUGGGUGUCAUGCCCUCUCCGAUUGUGAUCUUAUCUGGUCUACUCUCUGAUUGAGCAUGAAUACCGUUGGAUGGUGAGUCGGAUCCAGUUGGCACGGUUGGUUCACUGCCAAAGGUGCAAGUUCAUCCUUGUGUCUCCUCGUGCCGAUGUGGGAGUGUUGAUGUGGUGAACCAGCGCUGGAAGUCUACAAGGGAGGCGGUUUGCUAGGGCUGAUCUGACGUUGGAGUAGUGAGGCCUGGUAGAGGAACUGGGAUUUGCUCGGCAGUGAGGUCCUCUCUUGGUCGUUGGGUCAUCUUUAAGAUGCGAGGUUGUCUCCUGGGCACUAGUGAUCCUGCACAACAGGUCGGUGUCGGGGGACUUCCCGGCUUGACCCCUUCGAUGUUUAAGCCAGUGUAAGGUGGAGGAGGCGAAAGAUAGCAGUAUGAGCUGUGUAAAGAUGAGAGAGUAAAGGGUUGAGAGAUUGUUGCCCCCCCAAUCUUGGCCUGGGGUGUGGCUCUUAUGCCUGGGUGCUGUGCCCUCUCCGAUUGUGAUCUUAUCUGGUCUACUCUCUGAUUGGGCAUGAAUACCGUUGGUUGGUGAGUCGGCUCCAGUCGGCACGGUUGGUUCACUGCCAAAGGUGUAGGUUCAUCCUUGUAUCUCCUCCGUGCCGAUGUGGGAGUGUUGAUGUGGUGAACCAGCGCUGGAAGUCUACAAGGGAAGCGGUUUGCUGGGGCUGAUCUAACCUUGGAGCGGUGAGGCCUGGUAGAGGAACUGAGAUCUACUCGGCAGCGAGGUCCUCUCUUGGCUGUUGGGUCAUCUUCAAGCUGUGAGGUUGUCUCCUGGGCACUAGUGAUCUUGCACAAUAGGUCGGUGUCGGGGGGCUUCCCGGCUCGACCCCUUUGAUUCUUAAGUCAGUGUAAGGCGGAGGAGGCGAAAGACAGCAGUAUGAGCUGUGUAAAGAUGAGAGAGUCAAGGGUUAAGAGAUUGUUGCCCCCCCAAUCUUGGCUUGGGGUGUGGCUUUUAUGCUUGGGUGUUGUGCCCUCUCCACCUGUGUUAGCUGAGGUGGUAGAGGUAUUAAUGAGGGCGUGCCUUGUGCGGCGGAGGAGUUAAUGUGGGUGGCUUGCUGCCAGUCAUCAACGCAGAGUACUGUCGACCAUAGAUGCAUGGCUAGGUGGAGGGAGCUGGAGGGUGCCAAAUCUAGAG